This 22-nucleotide small nuclear RNA is filed under the name Arabidopsis thaliana (thale cress). RNAcentral describes it as "snRNA_07987". The record is from RNAcentral. Lineage: Eukaryota; Viridiplantae; Streptophyta; Magnoliopsida; Brassicales; Brassicaceae.
GCAUUUUAACCUUCUUCUUUUC